RNAcentral lists this ribosomal RNA (440 nucleotides) under uncultured bacterium. Its description in RNAcentral is "partial 16S ribosomal RNA". It matches the Rfam family "Bacterial small subunit ribosomal RNA", at positions 338 to 795 of the family's 1533-position model. The record is from RNAcentral.
CCUACGGGGGGCAGCAGUGGGGAAUAUUGCUCAAUGGGGGAAACCCUGAAGCAGCAACGCCGCGUGGAGGAUGAAGGUUUUCGGAUUGUAAACUCCUUUUGUUAGAGAAGAUAAUGACGGUAUCUAACGAAUAAGCACCGGCUAACUCCGUGCCAGCAGCCGCGGUAAUACGGAGGGUGCAAGCGUUACCCGGAAUCACUGGGCGUAAAGGGCGCGUAGGCGGGAUAGCAAGUCAGAUGUGAAAUCCUAUGGCUUAACCAUAGAACUGCAUUUGAAACUGUUAUUCUAGAGUAUGGGAGAGGUAGGUGGAAUUCUUGGUGUAGGGGUAAAAUCCGUAGAGAUUAAGAGGAAUACUCAUUGCGAAGGCGACCUGCUAGAACAUAACUGACGCUGAUGCGCGAAAGCGUGGGGAGCAAACAGGAUUAGAUACCCGGGUAGUC